This 459-nucleotide ribosomal RNA is filed under the name uncultured bacterium. RNAcentral's name for it is "partial 16S ribosomal RNA". It matches the Rfam family "Bacterial small subunit ribosomal RNA", at positions 338 to 795 of the family's 1533-position model. The record is from RNAcentral.
CCUACGGGAGGCAGCAGUGAGGAAUAUUGGUCAAUGGGCGCGAGCCUGAACCAGCCAAGUCGCGUGAGGGAAGACGGUCCUAUGGAUUGUAAACCUCUUUUGUCGGGGAGCAAAAGACGCCACGCGUGGCGUUCCGCGAGUACCCGAAGAAAAAGCAUCGGCUAACUCCGUGCCAGCAGCCGCGGUAAUACGGAGGAUGCGAGCGUUAUCCGGAUUUAUUGGGUUUAAAGGGUGCGCAGGCGGAAGGUCAAGUCAGCGGUAAAAUUGAGAGGCUCAACCCCGUCGAGCCGUUGAAACUGGUUUUCUUGAGUGAGUGAGAAGUAUGCGGAAUGCGUGGUGUAGCGGUGAAAUGCAUAGAUAUCACGCAGAACUCCGAUUGCGAAGGCAGCAUACCGGCGCUCAACUGACGCUCAUGCACGAAAGUGUGGGUAUCGAACAGGAUUAGAUACCCGUGUAGUC